CAACUGUGACCCAGCGACGACUGACUGUCGGCAACAGAAUGGCACAACGUUUUGCAAAUGCAAGGACGGAUAUGAGAAAUUUAAUCCAUCAGAAAAAUUCUGCAUCGAUAUAAACGAAUGUGAAACUAACAGCUGUAACAAUGAAACUUGUGUAAAUCUUCCUGGAAACUGGACGUGCCAAUGUAAAAACAGCGGCUUUUUUCCGGUUCAAGACGACAGAAAUAAUUUUACAUGUGAAGACAUUGACGAAUGUAACUCAACAGAAUAUACCUGUGAGCAUGGAAAUUGCUCUAACACAGUAGGUAACUGGAAUUGCACUUGCCUUAGUGUUGGAUUUUGGAGGAAUGAGAUUUCCAAGGAUGUUGUGGUCUGUGAAGAUAUUAAUGAGUGUUCUAAUCAAUCCUACUUUUGUGGCGGAAAAUGUAGUAAUACAGUUGGUAGCUGGGCAUGCGACUGCGAUACUGGAUUCCGGUCUCAUCCGAACAAAACCAGAUAUGCAUCAA
Molecule: long non-coding RNA, 503 nt
Organism: Mercenaria mercenaria
Lineage: Eukaryota; Metazoa; Mollusca; Bivalvia; Venerida; Veneridae
Exons: 4
Source: RefSeq, a predicted model, not a curated record